UUAAUAUUACUGGAAAAUAGCCGUUUGUAAACUAGAACGUUUAUUAAAUCUAAAUUUGGAAAUCAGUUGAUAAUGUCAUUUGUAUAAUUAGUCGCUAACAAAAAAUGAUAUUAAUGAAAUUACCCUGAUACGAAAUGGAAAUUUCACCAAAUAUAAAUUCAGUCAUUUAUAAAAUAGUGAAAAACAAAAAUCUGUGGCUACGUGAGUUUAGCCAAUUCUUACUGCAGAAACUUAUAAAAUUAGCUGAUUGUAAACUUUAUAAAAUGUAAAAUUAGCCGUUUUUAAACUUUUUACAACUUUUAAAUGGGUCGGUCGAAUCUGCUCUAAUUU
Molecule: long non-coding RNA, 330 nt
Organism: Cotesia glomerata
Lineage: Eukaryota; Metazoa; Arthropoda; Insecta; Hymenoptera; Braconidae
Exons: 2
Source: RefSeq, a predicted model, not a curated record